AGAGGGGCAUGCGCUUCUGUGUUUAUAUUCUGCAGAAGUGCAUGCUAAUUUUGCAUGGAAGAAAAUAAACAAUAAAAACUGUCUAAAAGAGAGUUGUUGAGAGAAUUUCUCAACCAGAAAUUAACAGCGGCUGCUGAGGAGAUAUUUGGGGUCGUUGAAAAAACGAUAGCAGAGUACCAGGUAGACAUGUUCCGUACGAAAGAGGAGAACGAACGUCUUCGUGGGCUUUUGAUGUUGUACAAAGGAGAUAUGUAGCUUCAUACAGUCAAUUGUUUGUAGCGUCUAACCACAUACAAAAUGGGAGGGGUAGCUACACGGGUGUCUAUCUAAUAACGUUAGCAAGCUUUCUACCCAGAUCCAAAAUGUUUGUCAAUGGCGAAUCUUCAUUGAAGUGCCGGUUACAAAACCUAAAUUUAUAGUGAAGUCCGGGGAACUGGACUUAGAGCUGAGAUCCUCAAAGUGUGAAGCAGCUCCACUGCAUUUGUUCCGGUUUUGUUUUUGAAAAGGAGGAGGGAGACGAGCAUCCAGUAACGCAACCUGGUAUCAACGUUUCAUAUUAUUCGAGUCAGACUGCCAGCAGCAGGCUGAAGCUACUAUCACUUUGGUGCAGGUUGCCCCUGAGCAGCAGCAGCCAUGUACUCAAGUGUGGCGCCUCCGUCUAAGACAGGAGGACCCAGAGUCUGAUUCCAAAGAAUAUCCAGACCAAGUAUCCACUUCUGAAGAUUUCACAUUCCAAAUGGAGACAGAAGGGUCUGUAAAUGAAGCCAUCAAACUGAAAGCCAUCCUCAACGACAACAGAAUAGAGAAAGUGAUUCUGCCCUCUCAACCUGACUCACUGAAUGAGCUGAUAUCAACGCUCAAGGAGAAACUGCAUCUGAAGUGUGAUUUCAGUCUUCUUUAUGAAGACCCUGAUUUCAACAAUGAGCUCUUCAACUUAGAGACCAUUAAAGACUUGCCUUCUCCUAGGGCUACGGUGAAAGUUUUGCAAAUACGACGUGAUGCAGACCUCGGUUUAGCCGGAGUCUCAGCCACCGAGUUACAGGACGCCCACCAGAGCGGUUAGGCAGGCGACCUGAAGUAUUUGUCAUACCCACUUUAUCGAUGGAGGUUGAGUUUGCUCUGAGAGAGGGCAAUUGUGCAUAUCUGAGACAUGAAACGGUGCUGAAAAUAACAAGGACUCAAAAACACAACAUUCUUGAUCGGAUGGCUUGGACAAUCUUCAAUUCCAAAGCGUACCCAAGUGACAGAGAAACUGGCUGGAGAUGGUCCACGAGAUGAUGAAAGAAAACAGAGACCUGCCACUCAUCAAUCAACACAUGCAGAAGACAUAUGCUCUCCGACGCCAAGAAAUGGUUAAAUCCAGUCCCUCGGUAGAGCAUCUCAGAACAUGCUGGCCAGCACUCUUCCUCGAAGCCCAGGUACAUGCUGAGUUUCAGAGAAUCACCAACCAGAGCCUGCAGCAGACGUUCUACGCUGCCUUAGACCACCACACACCCCGCCUGCUGACCCUGUUCAGGGAGAAGGGGGGGAAGUCCACCACCCAUGGAGGGAAUUCUCAAGCAUCCUGAGAGUGUACAACGAGCAGUUCACUUCACAGGGAGAAAAGAACAUCACCGUGGCCCGUUCUGCAGUCCUGGCUGGUCUCCCUUUGUUGUUAACGAGAGGAUAGUUGUGAUGUCUUAAAUCUGCGAGGUGGGAGAACUCAGCAACCCUGGUAUUCUGGAUGGAGUUUCCAUUCUCUCAGUGGUGGGCCAGCACAAUGAGGUGGUGGGUGGUAUACCCAUCAGACCAGCCCAUGUAUCCAUUGUCCUUGAGGAUAAGAUCGUCAUGACUAACUCCUGCUCCUGGCCAGACGCUCUCAUGGUUGUUUUUGGGCUACUCUACUCCCUCCAUCUGAACUACCCCAAGGCCCUGGGCAGCACCUUUGAGUUCAUGCAGAAAGUCUUCCUGAACCUCGACGAUGGAAAGCUGAAGCCCAAGCUACUAGCACUGAAAAAUGAACUGUUGGCCUAAUUCAGUGACCUCCUAUAUGCCGAGUGAGUGGUUUGAAAACAAUGGUUGUUUUUGUUUGGUUUGCUUUUUAUAUUUUUGUACCUUUUUUGUGAAGGUAAUGGAUUUGAUGUUGUAUUUCAAUUAACUUAUAACCCUUUUAUGUGCAAAGAAGACACAGGUCAGUCAAUACAUUAACUUAUCAAAUCAAGUUUAUUUUAUAUAGCCCUUUGUACAUCAGCUAAUAUCUCGAAGUGCUGUACAGAAACCCAGCCUAAAACCCCAAACAGCAAGCAAUGCAGGUGUAGAAGCACGGUGGCUAUGAAAAACUCCCUAGAAAGGCCAAAACCUAGGAAGAAACCUAGAGAGGAACCAGGCUAUGAGGGGUGGACAGUCCUCUUCUGGCUGUGCCGGGUGGAGAUUAUAACAGAACAUGGCCAAGAUGUUCAAAUGUUCAUAAAUGACCAGCAUGGUCAAAUAAUAAUAAUCACAGUAGUUAUCGAGGGUGUAGCAAGUCACCACCUCAGGAGUAAAUGUCAGUUGGCUUUUCAUAGCCGAUCAUUAAGAGUAUCUCUACCGCUCCUGCUGUCUCUAGAGAGUUGAGAACAGCAGGUCUUGGACAGGUAGCACGUCCGGUGGACAGCUCAGGGUUCCAUAGCCGCAGGCAGAACAGUUGAAACUGGAACAGCAGCAAGGCCAGGUGAACUGGGGACAGCAAGGAGUCAUCAUGCCCGGUAGUCCUGACGCCUGGUCCUAGGGCUCAGGUCCUCCGAGAGAGAGAGAGAGAGAGAGAGAAGGAGAGAAUUAGAGAGAGCAUACUUAAAUUCACACAGGACACUGGAUGAGACAGGAGAAGUACUCCAGAUAUAACCAACUGACCCUAGCCCCCCCCCCCCCCGACACACAAACUACUGCAGCAUAAAUACUGGAGGCGGAGACAGGAGGGGUCAGGAGACACUGUGGCCCCAUCCGAUGAUACCCCCGGACAGGGCCAAACAGGAAGGAUAUAACCCCACCCACUUUGCCAAAGCACAGCCCCCGCACCACUAGAGGGAUAUCUUCAACCGCCAACUUACAAUCCUGAGACAAGGCGGAGUAUAGCCCACAAAGAUCUCCGCCACGGCACAAUCCAAGGGGGGGGGGCGCCAACCCAGACAGGAAGACCACGUCAGCGACUCAACCCACUCAAGUGACGCACCCCUCCUAGGGACGGCAUGGAAGAGCACAAGUAAGCCAGUGACUCAGCCCCUGUAAUAGGGUUAGAGGCAGAGAAUCCCAGUGGGGAGAGGGGAACCGGCCAGGCAGAGACAGCAAGGGCGGUUCGUUGCUCCAGAGCCUUUCCGUUCACCUUCACACUCCUGGGCCAGACUACACUCAAUCAUAUGACCUACUGAAGAGAUAAGUCUUCAGUAAAGACUUAAAGGUUGAGACCGAGUCUGCGUCUCUCACAUGGGUAGGCAGCCCAUUCCAUAAAAAUGGAGAUCUAUAGGAGAAAGCCCUGCCUCCAGCUGUUUGCUUAGAAAUUCUAGGGACAAUUAGGAGGCCUGCGUUUUGUGACCGUAGCGUACGUGUAGGUAUGUACGGCAGGACCAACUCGGAAAGAUUGGUAGGAGCAAGCCCAUGUAACGCUUUAUAUGUUAACAGUAAAACCUUGAAAUCAGCCCUUCUGAUUUUUGCAAUGUUACUUAGAUGGAAAAAAGCUGUCCUUGAAACAGUCUUGAUAUGUUAGUCAAAAGAGAGAUCAGGGUCCAGAGUUACGCCGAGGUCCUUCACAGUUUUAUUUGAGACGACUUUACAACCAUCAAGAUUAAUUGUCAAAUUUAACAGAAGAUCUCUUUGUUUCUUGGGACCUAGAACAAGCAUCUCUGUUUUGUCCGAGUUUAAAAGUAGAAAGUUUUCAGCCAUCCACUUCCUUAUGUCUGAAACACAGGCUUCUAGCGAGGGCAAUUUUGGGGCUUCACCAUGUUUCAUUGAAAUGUACAGCUGUGUGUCAUCCGCAUAGCAGUGGAAGUUAACAUUAUGUUUUCGAAUGACAUCCCCAAGAGGUAAAAUAUAUAGUGAAAACAAUAGUGGUCCUAAAACGGAACCUUGAGGAACACCGAAAUGUACAGUUGAUUUGUCAGAGGACAAACCAUUCACAAACCAUUCACUGAUAUCUUUCCGACAGAUAAGAUCUAAACCAGGCCAGAACUUGUCCGUGUAGACCAAUUUGGGUUUCCAGUCUCUCCAAAAGAAUGUGGUGAUCGAUGGUAUCAAAGGCAGCACUAAGGUCUAGUAGCACGAGGACAGAUGCAGAGCCUCGGUCUGACGCCAUUAAAGGUCAUUUACCACCUUCACAAGUGCAGUCUCAGUGCUAUGAUGGGGUCUAAAACCAGACUGAAGCAUUUCGUAUACAUUGUUUGUCUUCAGGAAGGCAGUGAGUUGCUGCGCAACAGCUUUUUCAAAAAAUUUGAGAGGAAUGGAAGAUUCGAUAUAGGCCGAUAGUUUUUUAUAUUUUCUGGGUCAAGGUUUGGCUUUUUCAAGAGAGGCUUUAUUACUGCCACUUUUAGUGAGUUUGGUACACAUCCGGUGGAUAGAGAGCCGUUUAUUAUGUUCAACAUAGGAGAGCCAAGCACAUGAAGCAGCUCUUUCAGUAGUUUAGUUGGAAUAGGAUCCAGUAUGCAGCUUGAAGGUUUAGAGGCCAUGAUUGUUUUCAUCAUUGUGUCAAGAGAUUUAGUACUAAAACACUUGAGUGUCUCUCUUGAUCCUAGGUCCUGGCAGAGUUGUGCAGACUCAGGACAGCUAAGCUUUGGAGGAAUACGCAGAUUUAAAGAGGAGUCUGUAAUUUGCUUUCUAAUGAUCAUGAUCUUUUCCUCAAAGAAGUUCAUGAAUGUAUUACUGCUGAAGUGAAAGCCAUCCUCACUUGGGGAAUGCUGCUUUUUAGUUAGCUUUGCAACAGUAUCAAAAAUAAAUUUUGGAUUGUUCUUAUUUUCCUCAAUUAAGUUGGAAAAGUAGGAUGAUCGAGCAGCAGUGAGGGCUCUUCGGUACUGCACGGUACUGUCUUUCCAAGCUAGUCGGAAGACUUCCAGUUUGGUGUGGCGCCAUUUCCGUUCCAAUUUUCUGGAAGCUUGCUUCAGAGCUCGGGUAUUUUCUGUAUACCAGGGAGCUAGUUUCUUAUGACAAAUGUUUUUAGGGGUGCAACUGCAUCUAGGGUAUUGCGCAAGGUUAAAUUGAGUUCCUCAGUUAGGUGGUUAACUGAUUUUUGUCCUCUGACGUCCUUGGGUAGGCAGAAGGAGUCUGGAAGGACAUCAAGGAAUCUUUGUGUUGUCUGAGAAUUUAUAGCACGACUUUUGAUGCUCCUUGGUUGGGGUCUGAGCAAAUUAUUUGUUGCGAUUGCAAACGUAAUAAAAUGGUGGUCCAAUAAUCCAGGAUUAUAAAAUGGUGGUCCAAUAGUCCAGGAUUAUGUGGAAAAACAUUAAGAUCUACAACAUUUAUUCCAUGGGACAAUACUAGGUCCAGAGUAUGACUGUGGCAGUGAGUAGGUCCAGAGACAUGUUGGACAAAACCCACUGAGUCGAUGAUGGCUCCAAAAGCCUUUUGGAGUGGGUCUGUGGACUUUUCCAUAUGAAUGUUAAAAUCACCAAAAAUUUGAAUAUAAUCCGAUAGGAAUUCAGGGAACUCAGUGAGGAACGCUGUAUAUGGCCCAGGAGGCCUGUAAACAGUAGCUAUAAAAAGUGAUUGAGUAGGCUGCAUAGAUUUUAUGACUAGAAGCUCAAAAGACGAAAACGUCAUUUUUUUUUUUGUAAAUUGAAAUUUGCUAUCGUAAAUGUUAGCAACACCUCCACCUUUGCGGGAUGCACGGGGGAUAUGGUCACUAGUGUAACACAGUAAAUUCAUCAGGCUUCAGCCAUGUUUCAGUCAGGCCAAUCACAUCAAGAUUAUGAUCAGUGAUUAGUUCAUUGACUAUAACUGCCUUUGAGGUGAGGGAUCUAACAUUAAGUAGCCCUAUUUUGAGAUGUGAGGUAUCACGAUCUCUUUCAAUAAUGGCAGGAAUGGAGGUCUUUAUCCUAGUGAGAUUGCUAAGGCGAACACCGCCAUGUUUAGUUUUGCCCAACCUAGGUCAAGGCACAGACACAGUCUCAAUGGGGAUAGCUGAGCUGACUACACUGACUAUGCUAUUGGCAGACUCCACUAAGUUGGCAGGCUGGCUAACAGCCUGCUGCCUGGCCUGCACCCUAUUUCAUUGUGGAGCUAGAGUUAGAGCCCUGUCUAUGUUGGUAGAUAAGAUGAGAGCACCCCUCCAGCUAGGAUGGAGUCCGUCACUCCUCAGCAGGUCAGGCUUGGUCCUGUUUGUGGGUGAGUCCCAGAAAGAGGGCCAAUUAUCUACAAAUUCUAUCUUUUGGGAGGGGCAGAAAACAGCUUUCAACCAGCGAUUGAGUUGUGAGACUCUGCUGUAGAGCUCAUCACUCCCCCUAACUGGGAGGGGGCCAGAGACAAUUACUCGAUGCCGACACAUCUUUCUAGCUGAUUUACACGCUGAAGCUAUGUUGCGCUUGGUGACCUCUGACUGUUUCAUCCUAACAUCGUUGGUGCCGACGUGGAUAACAAUAUCUCUAUACUCUCUACACUCGCCAGUUUUAGCUUUAGCCAGCACCAUCUUCAGAUUAGCCUUAACGUCGGUAGCCCUGCCCCCUGGUAAACAGUGUAUGAUCGCUGGGUAAUUCGUUUUAAGUCUAAUACUGCCGGUAAUGGAGUCGCCAAUGAGUAGGGUUUUCAAUUUGUCAGAGCUAAUGGUGGGAAGCUUCGGCGUCUCUGAGUAGAGGCAAGAGAAGACUCGACCUCAGACUCCGACUCGCUACUUAAUGGGGAAAACCGGUUGAAAGUUUCUGUCGGCUGAAUGAGCGACACCAGUUGAGCAUUCCAACAGCAUUUCCCUCCAGAAGCCAUGAGAAAGUUGUCCGGCUGCGGGGACUGAGCGGGGGGAUUUAUACUACUAUCUGUACUUACUGGUGGCACAGACGCUGUUUCAUCCUUUCCUACACUGAAAUUACCCUUGCCUAACGAUUGCGUCGGAAGCUGGGCUUGCAGCACAGCUAUCCUCGCCAUAAGGCGAUCGUUCUUCUGUAUAUUAUGAGUACAGCGACUGCAAUUAGAAGGCAUCAUGUUAAUGUUACUACUUAGCUUCGGCUGUUGAAGCGUCCGGAUUGAAAAAGUUGAAUGAGGGAAAAAAAGUUGUGAAGGAAAAACUAAAAAUAUAAACGGUAAGUAAAAAGUAAAAAACGUAAAGUUGUCAGCUAGCAAAGUAAGGUUGGCAACAAAACGCACAGCAACACGUCUUAACCCUUUUAUGUGCAAAGAAUACACAGGUCAGUCAACACAUUAACUUAUAACCCUUUUAUGUGCAAAGAAUACACAGGUCAGUCAACACAUUAACUUAUAACCCUUUUAUGUGCAAAGAAUACACAGGUCAGUCAACACAUUAACUUAUAACCCUUUUAUGUGCAAAGAAUACACAGGUCAGUCAACACAUUAACUUAUAACCCUUUUGUGUGCAAAGAAGACACAGGUCAGUCAACACAUUAACUUAUAACCCUUUUAUGUGCAAAGAAGACACAGGUCAGUCAACACAUUAACUUAUAACCCUUUUAUGUGCAAAGAAGACACAGGUCAGUCAACACAUUAACUUAUAACCCUUUUAUGUGCAAAGAAGACACAGGUCAGUCAACACAUUAACCCUUUUAUGUGCAAAGAAGACACAGGUCAGUCAACACAUUAACUUAUAACCCUUUUAUGUGCAAAGAAGACACAGGUCAGUCAACACAUUAACCCUUUUAUGUGCAAAGAAGACACAGGUCAGUCAACACAUUAACUUGCCACAUACAGUAGAUCUACGACACAGUUCUUUGUUAUACAGCUGCAAAACCCCAAAAUGUAUUCUAGAAGAUUUCACCUUUGCAGACAUUCCGACGGGCACAAAAUAAAUGUUGAUAAAAUGUUUAUUAAAAUGUCUACCUGCUAUUGUC
Long non-coding RNA from Salvelinus fontinalis (brook trout), 7991 nucleotides. RefSeq lists it as uncharacterized. The transcript has 6 exons. The record is from RefSeq and is a predicted model, not a curated record. Lineage: Eukaryota; Metazoa; Chordata; Actinopteri; Salmoniformes; Salmonidae.